AACGAACGCUGGCGGCAGGCCUAACACAUGCAAGUCGAACGCUCGUAGCAAUACGAGAGUGGCAGACGGGUGAGUAACACGUGGGAACCUUCCCUAUGGUUCGGAAUAGCCCAGGGAAACUUGGGGUAAUACCGGAUAAGCCCUUCGGGGGAAAGAUUUAUCGCCAUUGGAUGGGCCCGCGUCGGAUUAGCUAGUUGGUGGGGUAACGGCCCACCAAGGCGACGAUCCGUAGCUGGUCUGAGAGGAUGAUCAGCCACACUGGGACUGAGACACGGCCCAGACUCCUACGGGAGGCAGCAGUGGGGAAUAUUGGACAAUGGGCGCAAGCCUGAUCCAGCCAUGCCGCGUGAGUGACGAAGGUCUUCGGAUUGUAAAGCUCUUUUGGCGGGGACGGAUAAUGACGGUACCCGCAGAAUAAGCCCCGGCUAACUUCGUGCCAGCAGCCGCGGUAAUACGAAGGGGGCUAGCGUUGUUCGGAAUCACUGGGCGUAAAGCGCACGUAGGCGGAUGUGCC
RNAcentral lists this ribosomal RNA (514 nucleotides) under uncultured bacterium. RNAcentral describes it as "bacterial SSU rRNA". It matches the Rfam family "Bacterial small subunit ribosomal RNA", at positions 28 to 585 of the family's 1533-position model. The record is from RNAcentral.